Molecule: long non-coding RNA, 807 nt
Organism: Salvia miltiorrhiza (redroot sage)
Lineage: Eukaryota; Viridiplantae; Streptophyta; Magnoliopsida; Lamiales; Lamiaceae
Exons: 2
Source: RefSeq, a predicted model, not a curated record
UUAAAAAAAAAAAAAAAAACUUGUGAACAUAGGAUUUGCUCAUAUAAUCAUUUGACAACAAAUUGAUAUAAUUAUCUUGGUGAGGCACAAUCCUAACCGUUGAGAAUCAAUUGUGAUCUCAAAUACUCCAAGGAAUAACUACCUUACCAACUUCCAAAUUCCCAAACAUAAGCAUUACAUCACAAUAAUUGCCACAAAAACACAAAAUUCGUAUGAAAGAUUACUGAUUUCUUCAACAAAUUCCUCCAAUUUCUGGUGAACUCUCCAUCCCCAUUUCUCCAGCUAUACAAAACAAGAUACAGUUUAUAUCCGAAAAAAGAAGAGGAAGCUGUCUUUGUUACUAUACUGUCUCAUAUUGCUCAUGUUUUAUGAACCCAAAUUUACACUCGUGCAUAAAUGAUGUUGGGCCUCUUAAAUUCAUCAUGUGAAGGGUUAUGUGAGCAAUGAUCUGAAGAAACAAGAAAGUCACAAACAGCUGUCGUGUAGGGAUGUGAGUUAUGGACGGAUGGGCUAAUAUGUGCUUUUGAAUACGUUGGAGAUAAUAGAAAGCCUCAUUAUUCAGGGACCGGCUUGAAAGUUGAGUCUGCGCACACUAGUGUUGUAGACAAGUCAUAGAAUGGAGAUUUGGAAGCUUAUGAUGUUGACACUCUCGACGAAAGCAAGCUGAUAAGCGAGCGGAUGAAGCACCUGUUAUAUUGGCUUACUUACACAAUUCGUUUCUUAUUUUGUAAAUUGUUAUGUUUCUCAUGUAGUAAGUACUAAAUGAUUGAGAAACUUACCUUAAUGAAUUAGUAGGUUCCAGUUAGA